GUGUGUGUGUGUGUGUGUGUGUGUUAGAGAGAGAGGUUGUGUGGUACUUCCUGUUCUCCCAGUCUUGCCUGUGUCUCUUGUACUAACUUGUUUCCUCUUCAUGUUCACAGUCAGUGUCCUGUUUAUCCUCUCAGGCUGACUUCAGAUCAGAAGAUGAGUGAUUGUGUGGAGGAAGAGGAGGACGGAGCAGAGUCUCCAGUCUCUGGCUGUCUGUCUGUGAAGAGUGAUCAGUCUAAAGAUGAUCCUCUGACCUUCAGUAAUGAACCUGGACCCUCAGAGUCAAAAUAAACUCUAACUCAAAGGUUUCCUGUAAAUGGAGAGAGGAGGAGUUACGCUGAUCCAGGUGAUGUAAGAACAUGAGAACAGGGAGGGAACCUGAAAGAGGAAGUGUUCAGUCAGUCCAGACGCCAUUUGAGUCGACGGAGCAGAAGGAUGAAGACUGUAGACUGAAGCAGGAGUUCAGUCCAGACCGAGAGCAGAGUCUCCAGUACCCAGCUGUCUGUCUAUGGAGAGUGACGGGUCUAAAGAGGAUCCUCCAGACUUCAGUAAUGAACCUAGACCCUCAGAGUCAAAAGAGAAGAAGAGGAGUCAUGCUUCUGUGGAGGAGCAGAUGUCCAGAUCCAGAACAAGA
Sebastes umbrosus (honeycomb rockfish) is the source of this 631-nucleotide long non-coding RNA. RefSeq lists it as uncharacterized. Lineage: Eukaryota; Metazoa; Chordata; Actinopteri; Perciformes; Sebastidae. The transcript has 4 exons. The record is from RefSeq and is a predicted model, not a curated record.